Podarcis lilfordi (Lilford's wall lizard) is the source of this 74-nucleotide non-coding RNA. The record is from the annotation of a GenBank genome assembly. NCBI's taxonomy places the organism in Eukaryota, Metazoa, Chordata, Lepidosauria, Squamata, Lacertidae.
GGAAAGGCCAUAGCUCUGUGGUAGAGCACAUGCUGUGCAUGCAAAAGGUCCAGGUUCAAUCCCUGACAUUUCCA